UGGAGGACUGAGAAGGUGAGGCAGUUAACAAGUAUUGCUUUUUAUCGGUUACAUCCUCCAAAAUCAAAACUGUGCAGAAGCAAAAUGUGUUCCUCUGACCAGUGUGGGAAUAACUUGCUGUUUGCACACAGAGA
This is a small nucleolar RNA of Heteronotia binoei (common prickly gecko), 134 nucleotides long. RefSeq annotates it as small nucleolar RNA SNORA47. The transcript has a single exon. NCBI's taxonomy places the organism in Eukaryota, Metazoa, Chordata, Lepidosauria, Squamata, Gekkonidae. The record is from RefSeq and is a predicted model, not a curated record.